GAACACAACAAAAAGACACCCACAGGAUUCACAACUACCAACAAACACCCCCCCACACUUAAAAUCUGGCACUGUCCUCAGUGCAUACAAAAAGAGGGGUGAAAGAGGAAACUUCCCUAAAUACCGAUCCAAGUGGUGAGUCUGUAGUAUCCCACGAUGUCUGCCAAGCUCUCAUCUAUAAAACAAACAGUCCCCGACGCACCAACCUGCACCAAACAACAGAAA
RNAcentral lists this long non-coding RNA (225 nucleotides) under Salvia miltiorrhiza (redroot sage). RNAcentral describes it as "long non-coding RNA (SMIL_LNC011847)". The record is from RNAcentral. Lineage: Eukaryota; Viridiplantae; Streptophyta; Magnoliopsida; Lamiales; Lamiaceae.